RNAcentral lists this non-coding RNA (23 nucleotides) under Cricetulus griseus (Chinese hamster). The record is from RNAcentral. Lineage: Eukaryota; Metazoa; Chordata; Mammalia; Rodentia; Cricetidae.
UCCAUUUCUGGAGAAGCUUGUAG